RNAcentral lists this ribosomal RNA (868 nucleotides) under uncultured bacterium. Its description in RNAcentral is "bacterial SSU rRNA". It matches the Rfam family "Bacterial small subunit ribosomal RNA", at positions 60 to 950 of the family's 1533-position model. The record is from RNAcentral.
AGUCGACGAUUAAGCACCUUCAGGUGUGUAUAGAGUGGCGAACGGGUGAGUAACACGUGACCAACCUGCCUCUUACAUUGGGACAACCAAAAGAAAUUCUGGCUAAUACCAAAUACUCCGCACAUAUCACAUGAUGUAUGCGGGAAAGCUUUUGCGGUAAGAGAUGGGGUCGCGGCCCAUUAGGUAGACGGCGGGGUAGAAGCCCACCGUGCCGAUGAUGGGUAGCCGGGUUGAGAGACCGACCGGCCACAUUGGGACUGAGAUACGGCCCAGACUCCUACGGGAGGCAGCAGUGGGGAAUAUUGCGCAAUGGGGGAAACCCUGACGCAGCAACGCCGCGUGCGGGAUGAAGGCCUUCGGGUUGUAAACCGCUUUCAGCAGGGAAGACAUCGACGGUACCUGCAGAAGAAGCCCCGGCUAACUACGUGCCAGCAGCCGCGGUAAUACGUAGGGGGCGAGCGUUAUCCGGAUUCAUUGGGCGUAAAGCGCGCGCAGGCGGUUGCUCAAGCGGAACCUCUAAUCUCGGGGCUUAACCUCGAGCCGGGUUCCGAACUGGACGACUCGAGUGCGGUAGAGGCAGAUGGAAUUCCCGGUGUAGCGGUGGAAUGCGCAGAUAUCGGGAAGAACACCAACGGCGAAGGCAGUCUGCUGGGCCGUCACUGACGCCGAGGCGCGAAAGCUGGGGGAGCGAACAGGAUUAGAUACCCUGGUAGUCCCAGCCGUAAACGAUGAGCGCUGGGUGUGGGAGAUUACAUCUUCCGUGCCGAAGCUAACGCAUUAAGCGCUCCGCCUGGGGAGUACGGCCGCAAGGCUAANACUCAAAGGAAUUGACGGGGGCCCGCACAAGCAGCGGAGCAUGUGGCUUAAU